Molecule: ribosomal RNA, 526 nt
Filed under: uncultured bacterium
Lineage: Bacteria
Description: bacterial SSU rRNA
Rfam family: Bacterial small subunit ribosomal RNA
Source: RNAcentral
CGCAAGAGGGGGACAGUGGCGAAAGGGAGAGUAAUACGCGGGUACCUACCUCGGGGUUCAGGAUAGCGGCGGGAAACUGCCAUUAAUACUGAAUAAUGUCUACGGACCAAAGGUGUGAUUCCACCUCGAGACGGGCCCACGUCCUAUCAGCUAGUUGGUGGGGUAAUGGCCUACCAAGGCAAUGACGGGUAUGGGGCGUGAGAGCGUGCCCCCACUCACUGGGACUGAGACACUGCCCAGACACCUACGGGUGGCUGCAGUCGAGAAUCUUCGGCAAUGGGCGAAAGCCUGACCGAGCGAUGCCGCGUGCGGGAUGAAGGCCCUCGGGUUGUAAACCGCUGUCGUAGGGGAGGAAGGCUCUGUGAAGAACAGGGUUUGACCGAUCCUAGGAGGAAGUGGAGGCUAACCUCGUGCCAGCAGCCGCGGUAAGACGAGGUCCACAAACGUUAUUCGGAAUUACUGGGCUUAAAGCGUGCGUAGGCGGCCUAGCAAGUCAGGUGUGAAAGCCCUCGGCUCAACCGAGGAA